This 71-nucleotide transfer RNA is filed under the name Loxodonta africana (African savanna elephant). It matches the Rfam family "tRNA". Rfam says of the family: Transfer RNA (tRNA) molecules are approximately 80 nucleotides in length. The record is from Rfam by way of RNAcentral. Lineage: Eukaryota; Metazoa; Chordata; Mammalia; Proboscidea; Elephantidae.
GCAUUGGUGGUUCAGUGCUAGAAUUCUGACCUUCCAUACAGGAGACCUGGGUUCAAUUCCUGGGCAAUGCA